UUGACUCAUUUAAGUAGACUCAGAGAUACACUAUUAAGACAGAGCUGGCUGGCCUUCGGCGGGCUCGACGCCGCGGGCCGGGCGGGGUGCCCGGCGCCGCGGCGCCCGCCGAGGCAACGUCUGGGUAUGUUCGCGAUGGUUGGACGGUAAAGUCACUGUAAUGAUCCCUCCGCUGGUUCACCAACGGAGA
RNAcentral lists this unclassified non-coding RNA (190 nucleotides) under uncultured fungus. Its description in RNAcentral is "sequence contains ITS1". The record is from RNAcentral. Lineage: Eukaryota; Fungi.